RNAcentral lists this ribosomal RNA (442 nucleotides) under uncultured bacterium. RNAcentral describes it as "partial 16S ribosomal RNA". It matches the Rfam family "Bacterial small subunit ribosomal RNA", at positions 338 to 795 of the family's 1533-position model. The record is from RNAcentral.
CCUACGGGAGGCAGCAGUGGGGAAUAUUGGGCAAUGGGCGCAAGCCUGACCCAGCAACGCCGCGUGAAGGAAGAAGGCUUUCGGGUUGUAAACUUCUUUUAAGGGGGAAGAGCAGAAGACGGUACCCCUUGAAUAAGCCACAGCUAACUACGUGCCAGCAGCCGCGGUAAUACGUAGGUGGCAAGCGUUGUCCGGAUUUACUGGGUGUAAAGGGCGUGCAGCCGGAGAGACAAGUAAGAUGUGAAAUCCACGGGCUCAACCCGUGAACUGCAUUUGAAACUGUUUCCCUUGAGUGUCGGAGCGGUAAUCGGAAUUCGAGGUGUAGGAGUGAAAUCCGUAGAUAUCUGGAGGAACAUCAGUGACGAAGGCGACUAUCUGGCACAUAACUGACGCUGAGGAGCGAAAGCGUGGGUAGCAAACAGGAUUAGAUACCCCGGUAGUC